GUGUGUGUGCGUGCUGGAUGAUGGGUGUGUGUGUGUGUGCUGGAUGAUGUGUGUGUGUGUGCUGGAUGAUGUGUGUGUGUGUGCUGGAUGAUGUGUGUGUGUGUGCUGGAUGAUGGGUGUGUGCGUGCUGGAUGAUGGGUGUGUGUGUGCGUGCUGGAUGAUGGGUGUGUGUGCUGGAUGAUGUGUGUGUGUGUGUGUGUGUGUGUGUGUGUGUGUGUGCUGG
Non-coding RNA from Pelobates cultripes (western spadefoot toad), 223 nucleotides. NCBI's taxonomy places the organism in Eukaryota, Metazoa, Chordata, Amphibia, Anura, Pelobatidae. The record is from the annotation of a GenBank genome assembly.